GUGAAUCAUCAAAUCUUUGAACGCAAAUUGCACUCUCUGGUAUUCCGGAGAGUAUGCCUGUUUGAGGGUCAGUUUAAAUAAAAAUCGGUGUGGUUGCUGCCUUUCGUGGUGACGCACCGGAUUUGGGUCGUCUUGCUUUCGGUUAAGUGACCUAAAAUUUUGCAUGCUUUUUUUCGAAUGUAUUUAAACGAUACUACGUACGUUUGCGAUAUCGUCUACUAGGUGUGGUCCUCCUCAUCAUUCGCGACUAUAAUU
RNAcentral lists this unclassified non-coding RNA (255 nucleotides) under Glomus sp. RNAcentral's name for it is "partial contains 5.8S ribosomal RNA and internal transcribed spacer 2". The stretch from base 1 to 71 matches the Rfam family "5.8S ribosomal RNA", at positions 84 to 154 of the family's 154-position model. The record is from RNAcentral. Lineage: Eukaryota; Fungi; Glomeromycota; Glomeromycetes; Glomerales; Glomeraceae.